UACAGAGGUCUCAAGCGUGGUUCGGAUUCAUUGGGCGUAAAGGGUGCGUAGGCGGCGCGGUAAGUCGGCUGUGAAAUCUCGGAGCUUAACUCCGAAACUGCAUUCGAUACUGCCGUGCUUGAGGACUGGAGAGGAGACUGGAAUUUACGGUGUAGCGGUGAAAUGCGUAGAUAUCGUAAGGAAGACCAGUGGCGAAGGCGGGUCUCUGGACAGUUCCUGACGCUGAGGCACGAAGGCCAGGGGAGCAAACGGG
RNAcentral lists this ribosomal RNA (253 nucleotides) under uncultured bacterium. RNAcentral's name for it is "partial 16S ribosomal RNA". It matches the Rfam family "Bacterial small subunit ribosomal RNA", at positions 524 to 776 of the family's 1533-position model. The record is from RNAcentral.